This 245-nucleotide unclassified non-coding RNA is filed under the name plant metagenome. RNAcentral describes it as "partial contains small subunit ribosomal RNA, internal transcribed spacer 1, and 5.8S ribosomal RNA". The record is from RNAcentral.
UCUCCGUUGGUGAACCAGCGGAGGGAUCAUUACCGAGUUUACAACUCCCAAACCCAAUGUGAACGUUACCAAACUGUUGCCUCGGCGGGGUCACGCCCCGGGUGCGUCGCAGCCCCGGAACCAGGCGCCCGCCGGAGGAACCAACCAAACUCUUUCUGUAGUCCCCUCGCGGACGUUAUUUCUUACAGCUCUGUGCAAAAAUUCAAAAUGAAUCAAAACUUUCAACAACGGAUCUCUUGGUUCUG